This 530-nucleotide ribosomal RNA is filed under the name Enterococcus mundtii. Its description in RNAcentral is "bacterial SSU rRNA". It matches the Rfam family "Bacterial small subunit ribosomal RNA", at positions 57 to 558 of the family's 1533-position model. Lineage: Bacteria; Bacillati; Bacillota; Bacilli; Lactobacillales; Enterococcaceae. The record is from RNAcentral.
GCAAGUCGAACGCUUCUUUUCCCACCGGAGCUUGCUCCACCGGGAAAAGAGGAGUGGCGAACGGGUGAGUAACACGUGGGUAACCUGCCCAUCAGAAGGGGAUAACACUUGGAAACAGGUGCUAAUACCGUAUAACAAUCGAAACCGCAUGGUUUCGUUUUGAAAGGCGCUUUACGGUGCCGCUGAUGGAUGGACCCGCGGUGCAUUAGCUAGUUGGUGAGGUAACGGCUCACCAAGGCCACGAUGCAUAGCCGACCUGAGAGGGUGAUCGGCCACAUUGGGACUGAGACACGGCCCAAACUCCUACGGGAGGCAGCAGUAGGGAAUCUUCGGCAAUGGACGAAAGUCUGACCGAGCAACGCCGCGUGAGUGAAGAAGGUUUUCGGAUCGUAAAACUCUGUUGUUAGAGAAGAACAAGGGUGAGAGUAACUGUUCACCCCUUGACGGUAUCUAACCAGAAAGCCACGGCUAACUACGUGCCAGCAGCCGCGGUAAUACGUAGGUGGCAAGCGUUGUCCGGAUUUAUUGGG